RNAcentral lists this ribosomal RNA (252 nucleotides) under uncultured bacterium. RNAcentral's name for it is "partial 16S ribosomal RNA". It matches the Rfam family "Bacterial small subunit ribosomal RNA", at positions 524 to 776 of the family's 1533-position model. The record is from RNAcentral.
GACGUAGGGCGCGAGCGUUGUCCGGAUUUAUUGGGCGUAAAGAGCUCGUAGGCGGCUUGUCGCGUCGACUGUGAAAACCCACAGCUCAACUGUGGGCUUGCAGUCGAUACGGGCAGGCUAGAGUUCGGUAGGGAGACUGGAAUUCCUGGUGUAACGGUGAAAUGCGCAGAUAUCAGGAGGAACACCGGUGGCGAAGGCGGCGAUCUGGGUCGAUACUGACGCUGAGGUGCGAAAGCGUGGGGAGCAAACAGG